AUUGAACGCUGGCGGCCGGCCUAACACAUGCAAGUCGAGCGGAGCGGCGGACGGGUGAGUAAUGCCUAGGAAUCGGCCUGGUAGUGGGGGAUAACGUCCGGCAACGGGCGCUAAUACCGCAUACUAUCAGAUGAUCCUAGGUCGGAUUGGCUAGUUGGUGGGGUAAAGGCCUACCAAGGCGACGAUCCGUAACUGGUCUGAGAGGAUGAUCAGUCACACGGGAACUGAGACACGGUCCAGACUCCUACGUGAGGCAGCAGUGGGGAAUAUUGGACAAUGGGCGCAAGCCUGAUCCAGCCAUGCCGCGUGUGUGAAGAAGGCCUUCGGGUUGUAAAGCACUUGCAGCGGGGAGGCGUUACCCGCAGAAGAAGCAGCGGCAAACUCCGUGCCAGCAGCCGCGGUAAUAC
Molecule: ribosomal RNA, 407 nt
Filed under: uncultured bacterium
Lineage: Bacteria
Description: partial 16S ribosomal RNA
Rfam family: Bacterial small subunit ribosomal RNA
Source: RNAcentral